RNAcentral lists this long non-coding RNA (454 nucleotides) under Trifolium pratense (red clover). RNAcentral's name for it is "long non-coding RNA (TPRA_LNC004370)". The record is from RNAcentral. Lineage: Eukaryota; Viridiplantae; Streptophyta; Magnoliopsida; Fabales; Fabaceae.
AUUAUUUGUACUUUCUACUGUUGUUUAUCCAUUUGGUUAAAGAAUGGUUGUGAGCAUACGUUUCGGCCACAACUCUCCAUUCUUCCACUGAUGUCAACUCCCCAUUCUCAACUAUAGAAAAGGUAAGAACUAUGCUAUGACUUUUCCUAUUUGCUUCUAAAUUUCUCAUAAUGAUUCAAACUCUAAACACCUUAUCCUCUAAAUGUUCUGUUCCUCUUAGUUCUUCUUAUGUUACUGAUUUGAACAGAAGAAGAAAACUUAAGGUAGGUUUUGUUUCUGUUAAUGUUUUACAUUGUACAAGAAGUUAUUAUGGGAGUGUUGUGUUUUCUAGACACUUAAAUUUAUAUUUAAGAUGUGGGUUUUUCUUAGGUUAUCCUAAAUAUGAUGCAUUUUUGAAACAUAAUAAUAAGAGUCAUGUUGGAGAUUUGGUUCCACCUUUAGUUGAGGAGAAUAA